RNAcentral lists this small nucleolar RNA (67 nucleotides) under Numida meleagris (helmeted guineafowl). The record is from RNAcentral. Lineage: Eukaryota; Metazoa; Chordata; Aves; Galliformes; Numididae.
CGGAUGUGAUGUGAAACGCCGCCUGACCUGCCGUGGAGGCAAAAAACUGAUUUAAUGAGGCUGAUCC